AAUUCUUGUUCUGCAGUCAACUAGUCGGUAAUACUAGUAAUUUUUUUUUGUAAUUUUCUCAUUUUGUUGCCUACUAAUAUUUUUUUUCGUCUUAAGAUGGAUUACUUGUAUGGACCAACACCUUCGUGCUGCGUCGACUCCGAGCCGAUCGAUGGAGAACUACUUUGGGGCGAGUGCAACCGACAUCGAACCGGUGAAAUUUUCGACAAUGAGAUUGAUACCAUUUGAAUAAUGGUUAGAGAAUAUUAAUAACGACCUAGUGUUAAAUAAUAUUAGUAAUUGCCUAUACCUAAUAUUAUAUUAGCUAAUGUACAUACAUUCAUAUUGUUUAAAAAUAUUAUUAUUUGAUCAUGCCGAAUGUUAGAAAACAGGUGAUCCGAUUUCACUUAGAUAGCUCUCAAUCAGCUUGAUCUAAAUUGCUCAUGAAUUAACUCGAUAAGGUAUUUGAGCCUACUCGAUGUUGUUGCUCACCAGACAGGUCAAAUUUUUGUAGCUCGUUAGCGCUCGAACAAUACAACACCGGGAACAGAAUUAGGAAGUAGAAUCCUAAUCUUAAGGCUUUCUUAAUUAAUAAUUAAUCAACACCACAAAUUAACCUUUUCUUCUUCUUCUUCUCUUUCUCUCUCACACACACACUCUCUCACCCUAAAAAAUUUCAAACAUUUUUUCUCUCCUCUUCUACUCACCGGCGAUCCGGCCUAAUUUAUUCCUCGGUCAGGGAAUUGGGCGGGGGGAGACCUGAAAAGGAAAAAGAAAAUUAACUUCAUCUCCCUUCCUCCUCCAUCAGGACCCUUUCCGGCCACCUCCCACCAUCGCCACAUUCACCAUUUCCGCCACCACCGUAUCAUGAAAUUAUUUGAUCUCAUUACAUUCCCACCCAGAUCUAUCUCUGCAUCAUCAUCAGAUCCUUCUCUCGAAUCAUCCUCACCGACAUCUCAGCCGCUGUCGAAUCUCAACGUCACGCGCCCCCGCCUCCGUCUCCAUCNNNN
This 989-nucleotide long non-coding RNA is filed under the name Linum usitatissimum (flax). RNAcentral's name for it is "long non-coding RNA (LUSI_LNC006722)". The record is from RNAcentral. Lineage: Eukaryota; Viridiplantae; Streptophyta; Magnoliopsida; Malpighiales; Linaceae.